GAUGAACGCUGGCGGCGUGCCUAAUACAUGCAAGUCGAACGCUUCACUUCGGUGAAGAGUGGCGAACGGGUGAGUAAUACAUAAGUAACCUGGCAUCUACAGGGGGAUAACUGAUGGAAACGUCAGCUAAGACCGCAUAGGUGUAGAGAUCGCAUGAACUCUAUAUGAAAAGUGCUACGGGACUGGUAGAUGAUGGACUUAUGGCGCAUUAGCUUGUUGGUAGGGUAACGGCCUACCAAGGCGACGAUGCGUAGCCGACCUGAGAGGGUGACCGGCCACACUGGGACUGAGACACGGCCCAGACUCCUACGGGAGGCAGCAGUAGGGAAUUUUCGGCAAUGGGGGAAACCCUGACCGAGCACCGCCGCGUGAAGGAAGAAGUAAUUCGUUAUGUAAACUUCUGUCACAGAGGAAGAACGGUGGAUAUAGGGAAUGAUAUCCAAGUGACGGUACUCUAUAAGAAAGCCACGGCUAACUACGUG
RNAcentral lists this ribosomal RNA (482 nucleotides) under uncultured bacterium. RNAcentral's name for it is "partial 16S ribosomal RNA". It matches the Rfam family "Bacterial small subunit ribosomal RNA", at positions 28 to 507 of the family's 1533-position model. The record is from RNAcentral.